RNAcentral lists this ribosomal RNA (117 nucleotides) under Chinchilla lanigera (long-tailed chinchilla). The record is from RNAcentral. Lineage: Eukaryota; Metazoa; Chordata; Mammalia; Rodentia; Chinchillidae.
AGUCUACACUAUACCACCCUGAAUGUGGUCAAUCUCAUGCGAUCUCAGAAGCUAAGCAGGGUUGGAGCUGGUUAGUACUUGGAUGGGAGACCAUUACAAGGUCUAGUUUAAUGGCUU